Long non-coding RNA from Solea senegalensis (Senegalese sole), 176 nucleotides. RefSeq lists it as uncharacterized. NCBI's taxonomy places the organism in Eukaryota, Metazoa, Chordata, Actinopteri, Pleuronectiformes, Soleidae. The transcript is spliced from 3 exons. The record is from RefSeq and is a predicted model, not a curated record.
CAGCCUUUGAUAAAAUGAAUUAUUAGAUGUAAUCUGCCUGUUUCUGACAUCUCCGCACACACCACAAGUGCAGGUGGCAGUGAUCCUGUUUUCAAACCACAUGGCAAACCUAUUUUAAACUUGAAAAUAAUACACACAAUCUCCUAUGUUAGAGUGCUUACCUGGAGGAUGCUCAC